RNAcentral lists this ribosomal RNA (592 nucleotides) under Anisepyris subviolaceus. RNAcentral describes it as "eukaryotic LSU rRNA". The record is from RNAcentral. Lineage: Eukaryota; Metazoa; Arthropoda; Insecta; Hymenoptera; Bethylidae.
AAAGAUCGAAUGGGGAGAUUCAUCGUCAGCGCCGCUGGCUUAACGAUGGCUCGCGAUGCGAGGGGCCCCGCCCCGAGUUACGCGGUCGUCGUUUUGCGCCCGGCGGCGUCGGCGUGCACUUCUCCCCUAGUAGAACGUCGCGACCCGUUGAGUGCCGGUCUUACGGCCCGAGUGGAAGCCUGUUCGCCCCCGUGGCUGCAGACCCUCGGUCGCCAAAGAAUCGGCUGCUCGGCGGUACUCCCAUGGUAUCGGGCCGCAAAAUUUCGAACUGCGUCGGGCCCGCUCUGUCCGCUGGUCGGUGUCUCGGUGGUACGGACCUAGCGCCGUCCCCAGCUCCGGCCGGCUUCGAAGGCAGGCGGUGUCCUCCGACAGGCCAUCGAACUUAACGAUACCGGUCGGCGACGCUACCGCUUUGGGUAAUCUCAGGACCCGUCUUGAAACACGGACCAAGGAGUCUAACAUGUGCGCGAGUCAUUGGGAUUAUGAAUACCUAAAGGCGAAAUGAAAGUGAAGGUCGGCCUUAGCGUCGACCGAGGGAGGAUGGGCCGCGUUACGAUGCGGCUCCGCACUCCCGGGGCGUCUCGCUCUCAUC